This 444-nucleotide ribosomal RNA is filed under the name Streptococcus sanguinis. RNAcentral describes it as "bacterial SSU rRNA". It matches the Rfam family "Bacterial small subunit ribosomal RNA", at positions 28 to 460 of the family's 1533-position model. The record is from RNAcentral. Lineage: Bacteria; Bacillati; Bacillota; Bacilli; Lactobacillales; Streptococcaceae.
GACGAACGCUGGCGGCGUGCCUAAUACAUGCAAGUAGAACGCUGAAGAGAGGAGCUUGCUCUUCUUGGAUGAGUUGCGAACGGGUGAGUAACGCGUAGGUAACCUGCCUGGUAGCGGGGGAUAACUAUUGGAAACGAUAGCUAAUACCGCAUAAAAUUGAUUAUUGCAUGAUAAUUAAUUGAAAGAUGCAAUCGCAUCACUACCAGAUGGACCUGCGUUGUAUUAGCUAGUUGGUGAGGUAACGGCUCACCAAAGCGACGAUACAUAGCCGACCUGAGAGGGUGAUCGGCCACACUGGGACUGAGACACGGCCCAGACUCCUACGGGAGGCAGCAGUAGGGAAUCUUCGGCAAUGGGGGGAACCCUGACCGAGCAACGCCGCGUGAGUGAAGAAGGUUUUCGGGAUCGUAAAAGCUCUGUUGUAAAGAGAAAGAACCGGGUGUG